This 465-nucleotide ribosomal RNA is filed under the name Vreelandella stevensii. RNAcentral describes it as "partial 16S ribosomal RNA". It matches the Rfam family "Bacterial small subunit ribosomal RNA", at positions 338 to 795 of the family's 1533-position model. Lineage: Bacteria; Pseudomonadati; Pseudomonadota; Gammaproteobacteria; Oceanospirillales; Halomonadaceae. The record is from RNAcentral.
CCUACGGGUGGCUGCAGUGGGGAAUAUUGGACAAUGGGCGAAAGCCUGAUCCAGCCAUGCCGCGUGUGUGAAGAAGGCCUUCGGGUUGUAAAGCACUUUCAGUGGGGAAGAAAGCCUUGGGGCUAAUACCCUCGAGGAAGGACAUCACCCACAGAAGAAGCACCGGCUAACUCCGUGCCAGCAGCCGCGGUAAUACGGAGGGUGCGAGCGUUAAUCGGAAUUACUGGGCGUAAAGCGCGCGUAGGCGGUCUGAUAAGCCGGUUGUGAAAGCCCCGGGCUCAACCUGGGAACGGCAUCCGGAACUGUCAGGCUAGAGUGCAGGAGAGGAAGGUAGAAUUCCCUGUGUAGCGGUGAAAUGCGUAGAGAUCGGGAGGAAUACCAGUGGCGAAGGCGGCCUUCUGGACUGACACUGACGCUGAGGUGCGAAAGCGUGGGUAGCAAACAGGAUUAGAUACCCUGGUAGUC